This 1213-nucleotide ribosomal RNA is filed under the name Phytalmia cervicornis. RNAcentral's name for it is "partial 16S ribosomal RNA". Lineage: Eukaryota; Metazoa; Arthropoda; Insecta; Diptera; Tephritidae. The record is from RNAcentral.
GCAAAUCAAUAUAAGCUGAAUUAACAUUUAUUUAUUAAUUUUUUUUUUUUAUUUAUUUAAUUAUUAAAAAUAAUUGUAUAGAUUUGUGUUUUAGUAAUUUUUAAUGAAAAAAUAAUUUUUAUUAUAGUGUAGUAUGUAUUGUGAAAGAUUAUUGAAAUAUUUUGAAAAAUUUUUAUUGAAUAAGAAAUUUUUACUUAAUGUACCUUGUGUAUCAGGGUUUAUCUAAUAGUUGAUAAUUAUUUAUUGAUCUCGAUUUUAUAAGAGUUAAUAAUUUAUGAAAGUUAAUGUGUUAGAAUUAUUUUUAAUAAAUUAUUAGAAAUGAAAUGUUAUUCGUUUAUAAAGGUAUCUAGUUUUUUUAGAAAUAAAUUUAAUUUACAAGUUUUUAAUUUUUCUUUUUAUUAUAUUAAAAUAAAAAUUUAUUAAUUUGAAUAUUUUAAGGGAUAAGCUUUAAGAUAAAGCAUUAAAAAUUAAUAAUUAUUAUUUAAAAUGUAUGUGUAGAAUUAGCAAUCAUUGGUAAGUUUGUUAUAAAUUAUUUUAUGAUUUAUAUUAUUUAUUAGGUUUUAAUUUAUUUAUAAAAAUUUUUUUGUUAAUUUUUAAGAAAAGCAAUAAUGGUAAAAUUAGUAUAUAUUUAUUGUUAAGUUUAUUUUUAUGCUAAGUUUAUAUAAAGAACUCGGCAAAUAUGUUAUGCCCGCCUGUUUAACAAAAACAUGUCUUUUUGAGUUAAUUUUAAAGUCUGACCUGCCCAAUGAAUAAUUUUGAAUGGCCGCAGUAUUCUAACUGUGCAAAGGUAGCAUAAUCAUUAGUCUUUUAAUUGAAGGCUGGUAUGAACGGUUGGACGAGGUAUAGGCUGUUUCAUAUAAAUUUAUUAUAGAAUUUUAUAUUUUAGUUAAAAAGCUAAAAUUUUAUUAAAAGACGAGAAGACCCUAUAAAUCUUUAUAUUUUAUGUUAUAUUAAUUUUUUAGAUUAAGUUUAUUUUUUUAAAAUGAAAUAUUUUGUUGGGGUGAUAUUAAAAUUUAAUAAACUUUUAAUUUUAUUGAAUCAUUAAUUUAUGAAUAAUUGAUCCGUUAAUAACGAUUAUAAGAUUAAGUUACUUUAGGGAUAACAGCGUAAUUUUUUUGGAGAGUUCAUAUCGAUAAAAAAGUUUGCGACCUCGAUGUUGGAUUAAGAGAUAAUUUUAGGUGUAGCCGCUUAAAUGUUAAGUCUGUUCGACUUU